Molecule: ribosomal RNA, 523 nt
Filed under: uncultured bacterium
Lineage: Bacteria
Description: bacterial SSU rRNA
Rfam family: Bacterial small subunit ribosomal RNA
Source: RNAcentral
GAUGAACGCUAGCGGCAGGCCUAAUACAUGCAAGUCGUACGGCAACACAGUUGCGAGCAAUCGCAACCGGUGGCGAGUGGCGCACGGGUGAGUAACGCGUAUGUAACCUACCCUUCUCCGGGACAUAACUCCGCGAAAGCGGUGCUAAUAUCCCAUACCAACUCAUCAAGACAUCUUCUUGAGUUGAAAGCAGCAAUGCGGUGAAGGAUGGGCAUGCGUCCCAUUAGCUGGUUGGUGAGGUAAUGGCCCACCAAGGCUACGAUGGGGUAGGGGUUCUGAGAGGAAACGCCCCCCACACUGGUACUGAGACACGGACCAGACUCCUACGGGAGGCAGCAGUAAGGAAUAUUGGGCAAUGGUCGAAAGACUGACCCAGCCAUGCCGCGUGCAGGAUGAAGGCCCUAGUGGGUUAGUAAACUGUCUUUUUAGGACCCGGGUAAAUAAAACCGUACCCGUUUUAAGUAAACCGGGGCCCGAAAGGGUACCGGCUGAAUAAGCAUCGGCUAACUCCGUGCCAGCACGG